GCAUAACGCGAAGAACCUUACCAGGCCUUGACAUGCAGAGAACUUUCCAGAGAUGGAUUGGUGCCUUCGGGAACUCUGACACAGGUGCUGCAUGGCUGUCGUCAGCCCGUGUCGUGAGAUGUUGGGUUAAGUCCCGUAACGAGCGCAACCCUUGUCCUUAGUUACCAGCACGUAAUGGUGGGCACUCUAAGGAGACUGCCGGUGACAAACCGGAGGAAGGUGGGGAUGACGUCAAGUCAUCAUGGCCCUUACGGCCUGGGCUACACACGUGCUACAAUGGUCGGUACAGAGGGUUGCCAAGCCGCGAGGUGGAGCUAAUCCCAUAAAACCGAUCGUAGUCCGGAUCGCAGUCUGCAACUCGACUGCGUGAAGUCGGAAUCGCUAGUAAUCGCGAAUCAGAAUGUCGCGGUGAAUACGUUCCCGGGUCUUGUACACACCG
RNAcentral lists this ribosomal RNA (439 nucleotides) under uncultured bacterium. RNAcentral describes it as "bacterial SSU rRNA". It matches the Rfam family "Bacterial small subunit ribosomal RNA", at positions 954 to 1392 of the family's 1533-position model. The record is from RNAcentral.